Molecule: small nucleolar RNA, 57 nt
Filed under: Trypanosoma cruzi
Lineage: Eukaryota; Euglenozoa; Kinetoplastea; Trypanosomatida; Trypanosomatidae
Description: H/ACA snoRNA, TC10C1H3
Rfam family: Trypanosomatid snoRNA TB10cs1H3
Source: RNAcentral
GCAGGCCGCAGAGGGUUGCCAUCCAUUCCUCGUGCGGUUCAACAAAAUGGUCCAAGA